CCUACGGGAGGCAGCAGUGGGGAAUAUUGGGCAAUGGACGCAAGUCUGACCCAGCAACGCCGCGUGAAGGAAGAAGGCUUUCGGGUUGUAAACUUCUUUUAAGGGGGAAGAGCAGAAGACUGUACCCCUUCAAUAAGCCACUGCUCACUACGUUCCCGCAGCCGCGGUAAUACGUAGGUGGCACGCGUUGUCCGGAUUUACUGGGUGUAAAGGGCGUGCAGCCGGGAAGACAAGUCAGAUGUGAAAUCCCGGGGCUCCACCGCGGAACUGCAUUUGAAACUGUUUUUCUUGAGUAUCGGAGAGGUAAGCGGAAUUCCUAGUGUAGCGGUGAAAUGCGUAGAUAUUAGGAAGAACACCAGUGGCGAAGGCGGAUUACUGGACGACAACUGACGGUGAGGCGCGAAAGCGUGGGGAGCAAACAGGAUUAGAUACCCCUGUAGUC
This 442-nucleotide ribosomal RNA is filed under the name uncultured bacterium. Its description in RNAcentral is "partial 16S ribosomal RNA". It matches the Rfam family "Bacterial small subunit ribosomal RNA", at positions 338 to 795 of the family's 1533-position model. The record is from RNAcentral.